RNAcentral lists this RNase P RNA (415 nucleotides) under Acidobacteriota bacterium. Its description in RNAcentral is "Acidobacteria bacterium RNase P RNA component class A". It matches the Rfam family "Bacterial RNase P class A". From Rfam's summary of the family: Ribonuclease P (RNase P) is a ubiquitous endoribonuclease, found in archaea, bacteria and eukarya as well as chloroplasts and mitochondria. Its best characterised activity is the generation of mature 5'-ends of tRNAs by cleaving the 5'-leader elements of precursor-tRNAs. The record is from RNAcentral. Lineage: Bacteria; Pseudomonadati; Acidobacteriota.
CGGAGAGCCCCAGGCGGUCGCCUGCCGCCGUUCCGGCGGUAGGAGGAAAGUCCGAGCUCCGACGGGCAGCAUGCUCGCUAACGGCGAGGCGCGGCGACGCGACGGAAAGUGCAACAGAGAGCAGACCGCCCGGCCGGCCGCGUGCCGGCCGAGCAAGGGUGAAACGGUGCGGUAAGAGCGCACCGCCCGGGCGGCGACGUCCGGGGCACGGUAAACCCCAUGCGGAGCAAGACCAAAUAGGGAGGCGGAAGACGGGCCGCCCGUCCCGCCCGCGCCGCGGACGCGUCCGCGGCGCGGCCAGUCUCCGGGUAGGUCGCUCGAGCCCGGCGGCAACGCCGGGCCUAGAGGAAUGACCGCCAGCCGGCCGGCGCGAGCCGGCCGGACACAGAACUCGGCUUAUGGGGCUCUCCGGCAU